This 495-nucleotide ribosomal RNA is filed under the name uncultured bacterium. Its description in RNAcentral is "partial 16S ribosomal RNA". It matches the Rfam family "Bacterial small subunit ribosomal RNA", at positions 28 to 507 of the family's 1533-position model. The record is from RNAcentral.
GACGAACGCUGGCGGCGUGCCUAAUACAUGCAAGUAGAACGCUGAAGGAGGAGCUUGCUUCUCUGGAUGAGUUGCGAACGGGUGAGUAACGCGUAGGUAACCUGCCUGGUAGCGGGGGAUAACUAUUGGAAACGAUAGCUAAUACCGCAUAAGAGUAGAUGUCGCAUGACAUUUGCUUAAAAGGUGCAAUUGCAUCACUACCAGAUGGACCUGCGUUGUAUUAGCUAGUUGGUGAGGUAACGGCUCACCAAGGCAACGAUACAUAGCCGACCUGAGAGGGUGAUCGGCCACACUGGGACUGAGACACGGCCCAGACUCCUACGGGAGGCAGCAGUAGGGAAUCUUCGGCAAUGGACGGAAGUCUGACCGAGCAACGCCGCGUGAGUGAAGAAGGUUUUCGGAUCGUAAAGCUCUGUUGUAAGAGAAGAACGAGUGUGAGAGUGGAAAGUUCACACUGUGACGGUAUCUUACCAGAAAGGGACGGCUAACCACGUG